Molecule: long non-coding RNA, 1939 nt
Organism: Astatotilapia calliptera (eastern happy)
Lineage: Eukaryota; Metazoa; Chordata; Actinopteri; Cichliformes; Cichlidae
Source: Ensembl
GGAAAAGGGACGCAGAAGGAAAAGAGACCUGAGGCGGCCGCCGGUCCAAGUGUGAACUGAACUUCAGGUGUCCGGUUGUCUUCAUUCUCCGCCAGCCUGGUUAAGUCAAUUCCUCCUUAACAUCUAAAAGAACCUAUUUAAUGAAGGAAGACGGGUUCACUUUGUGUUUAAUAUUAUUCUAUUGCUGUUGUUGUUUUUUUUAUAUCCUUCAAUUGGCGUCACGAACAGGAUCCGCUCCAGGCCAAACUGGAACGGGUGGGAGGACAUCGGCCGUGGUCUGAGUGAACGGAGUUUGGACAAAAGCUGUGUGCACACAAAAACAAGGUUGUUGCUCUUUAACUCCUAGAACACGCCCUUGGCGAGGUGGGGGGAACUGGACCACCUUUCUGUGCCCCAUCAUCCUCUAUUAGACGACAUCCAAGCUAAGUAAACAUGUCUUGGCCCUUUCCCCCUGAAAUGACAGGCAGGCAAAGAUGUUGCGUCUUUGUUUGCUUCCUGGCCCUGGGUCUCAUUCCCAUUGGCAUAAUCCUGAUCUGUGAAGGGCCCCCGACACUUCUGACACCUUCAAGUUCAAAAGCUUCGCCCCCUUCUGACAGUCCCAAUCUGACAAAUGUAGCCCCUAGGGUCUUGCCCACCACUUCCUCUCCAGUUUUGCCCACGCCCGAUCCAUUUAGAAAGAAACGAGACACGGUUACCUCCUCGCCAACGGAUGAUGAAAACUCUGAUCGUGAGGGUGACGAACAUUAUCGUCUUUCUCUUGUUUAAAUGCUUCUAGAAUGGUUGUUUCUCUGUGGUGUUUUGUAUUAGGCUUGUUAUUAAUUGUUUCCCUCACCCACUUCCUCUUGAAGGAUAUAUCUGGUUGAACUGUGUCUGGUCGGGUUGUGAGGGUUAAGCGAUGUUCUCAGGGUCUCCGGACUUAAGCCUGAGCGAAUGUGUACUCCCACCACUGGAUAUAACUUGUUUUUUUUCCACACCCCUUCCUCACGUUUUACCAUAUUCACUUUUGAAUGUCCUUAGCAGUUACCGUUCUGGGUUUAUUUUACGGUUGAUUUAUUCUUUCACAUUUUCACGUUUAUAUCUCUCAUUAUUAUAGUAGACUCUGUACUCUCCACAUUUUUAUCAUUACUUAUGUUUUUUAGUUGCUGGGUUACAGGAACUGUUAAUUUUGUGUCUCUACCCUGGUUGCACUAACUCGUUGUAUCCGUGUGUGCAGGACAGCUGUUACUGCUUUCAUCGGGAACCGAGACUGCUUGCAGCCGACCCCUGGGCAGGGUGGUGCCUGGACUCUUUUCUCCUCAUCUGCAAUGACAGAUAAAGACAAAUGAUAAGACCCGAGGAGUUUUUCGAGCCAGGCUUCGACACGUCUCUGUGUUCCUUUGAAUGUUACUUAUGUUUGUGUGUUGACCCAUUUAAGAUGGGUCAAAAGGGGGAUUUGAAGAAAAUAUAAUCUGAUCAAACAUUAUUCAGCUUUAAAUAUUGUUCAGCUUUAAAGUUACUGUGCAACUGUGUAAUAAAAAUAUGUGCUCACGACUUUGGCCUUGAGAGCGAUAAGAAGCGAUCGCCUCAUUCUGCAGGUGCAAGAUAUCUGCAAGCGAAGAGACUAGAACACCCAAGGCCGCUUUCCUUUUAUGGAGUUGUUUUUCUGCUAAUGCAGCACUGUCCUCACAACCCCCUCCUGUAAGUUUUAGAGAAUAUAUACCCAUCCUCACAGCAAAUAUUGGGAAUCUCCUGAUGUGAGCUGUGUUGAGAGGUUGUCUCUGUCUCAAUAAAAGUUCACUGAUUCCCCCAUCUGCAGCAGGUGUCCGGUUGUCUUCAUUCUCCGCCAGCCUGGUUAAGUCAAUUCCUCCUUAACAUCUAAAAGAACCUAUUUAAUGAAGGAAGACGGGUUCACUUUGUGUUUAAUAUUAUUCUAUUGCUGUUGUUGUUUUUUUUAUAUCCU